This 872-nucleotide long non-coding RNA is filed under the name Marmota monax (woodchuck). Lineage: Eukaryota; Metazoa; Chordata; Mammalia; Rodentia; Sciuridae. The record is from RNAcentral.
GUGUGUAGAAGGAGGAAGGUUGGAUUUGCUUAGGGGUAUCGCAUCAGCUGAUCUGACCAGGUCACCGAGACCCCUUAGGGAAAGUCCGGGGUAGUUUCUGAGGGGGGGGGGUGUUUAAGAAGUUGUCAGAGUGUCUGAAUAAGACUUGUCAAUGAGUGAAUAAUGGUUAGGAGACCCAAGUCUAUUUGAGUUUAUGACUGGGUGCAAAGGACUGUGAGUUGGGAGAGACGGUGCACAAUAGGCGUAUGGCAUCCAGGGUCUCCGUGUGUGAGUUGGCCUGGAAGAUUGUGGAAAGGAGAAACACGCAACCACGUGAUGGAUGAGACCGUGUGAUGUGGCUGCCUGAGACUGAAUGUGGGAAAGGUCGUGUGGGUGUUAAGAUUGUGUUGUUUUCUAGAGGGUGAAAAUAUUUGUGACCCUGACAAACACAGUGGAAUGUUGUCUGCUUUAAGGCUGGUGUAGGUUUAGACUGUAGGUUUGGAUCGCUUAUCCCAGCGAUUGGUGGGGCCAGAGGCCGCACCCCUCCGAGCAAUGACCUCUUCUAGCAAAUGACUCGGAGGGCAAGUUGUGGAGCACAGAUCCGCGCCAGCGGCAGGCCUGGGCUUGCGGGCCAGGGCCCAGUGCUGGGGAGUGAAGUGGGUGACCCCCACAGUGGGGAGCGACUGGUGUGUCAUCAGAACUGGCCGCCAGGUGGCGCCGCCUUUGCAAAUCCAAGUGUGCCGCCUCCAACCCGUUGGGGGUGGGGCAGGCAGCGACCGGGCCUCGGCCCCGACUUGUGCCCAGGCUCCGGGCGCUGGUAGUUGAAGGCGGGCAACUAGCCCUCGGCCUCUUGUCUGGACUAAGAAGCUGGAGAGUGUCUGGGGCGGGGGGAG